CAGUAGCCGCGGUAAUACGUAGGGUGCAAGCGUUAAUCGGAAUUACUGGGCGUAAAGCGUGCGCAGGCGGUUUUGUAAGACAGAGGUGAAAUCCCCGGGCUCAACCUGGGAACUGCCUUUGUGACUGCAAGGCUAGAGUACGGCAGAGGGGGAUGGAAUUCCGCGUGUAGCAGUGAAAUGCGUAGAUAUGCGGAGGAACACCGAUGGCGAAGGCAAUCCCCUGGGCCUGUACUGACGCUCAUGCACGAAAGCGUGGGGAGCAAACAGGAUUAGAUACCCCCGUAGUCCCUGUCUCUUAUAC
Molecule: ribosomal RNA, 301 nt
Filed under: uncultured bacterium
Lineage: Bacteria
Description: partial 16S ribosomal RNA
Rfam family: Bacterial small subunit ribosomal RNA
Source: RNAcentral